Mauremys mutica (yellowpond turtle) is the source of this 1472-nucleotide long non-coding RNA. RefSeq lists it as uncharacterized. The record is from RefSeq and is a predicted model, not a curated record. Lineage: Eukaryota; Metazoa; Chordata; Testudines; Geoemydidae. The transcript has 7 exons.
CUAGCUGCUUCACAGGUGAAAUGGUAGCGUAAUAUUCCAAUCUUCAGUGGCUGUAAAAAUCUUGUGUUCAUUCAAUGAACAUAUUUCUCACAGAUAGGAGAAGCUUAUAGCCAGUAUUACACUAGCCAGAUUAAAACCACAUAAUGUAAAUGCAGGUGAGGUAAAAAGAGAGUUGUGUAUGUCUUCAAAUCAUAACAGCGCUGUUUUUUCACCUUUGCUCCCAGGCAUCUGGUGUGCUGCUAAACAGUAACAGUAAGCAGCAGUCUUUGUCAUCUUAUGAUGGUCUUGUAAGAGAGAAUGAACACAGGCUUCAUUAUUUUUUAUCACCAUCAAGGUUCUCCUUGGUUCCCCAGUGGUCAAGGAUCCAGGCUAUUCAGAAAGAGUCCUUCCAGCUUUCAGCCAGCCAUUUCAUCUGACACCCUUGGACCAUCACCUGAGAAGAUAAUGAGGGAAAUCAGGUGAGAGAUAAAGAAGCUAAAAAAUAACAGAGCAAGGAGGAAGGAGCUGGAAAACAGCAAGAGGAAGAGAAAAAGAUUAGGAAACUGUAGUGAGGAGACAGAAAGAAGCUGGAAAGCAGCAGUGGGGAGUGCACCAUUUUCUCCCAGACUCUAUGAACUCAAGAUAUAAAUAAAGCUUGAAAAAAAAAAGUGACGUGUGGAUGAAGGAGGAAAAACAACAGAUCCAGACACCCUGGUACCACUCAGUGGCAAUAGAUGCCAAACACAACAAAUCUGUUUUACAACAAGCCUGGAUCACUAAUCACCUUUCUCAUGAAAGCUAUAUGAGUUGGGAGGAGGAAGUAACCAGAGAGUCUAUUCUCAGCAGAUUUCCAGCUCUAGUUUGCAGGCCCAAGAGAGUAUGGCAAGGCCACUACCACUGAGCCAGGGGAAUAAGCGGACUCCAAAAUACUCAUGCAUUGGCAUGAUGAUGGAAUUGUGAUAGCUCAGCAAAGCAGGGGACUACAACUCCCAUCAGCCCCUUCCCCGCUGCACUUCCCUUCCCCCAGCCUGGUAAAGGGAAAGGUCCUGAACCAAUAAGUGGCCAGGGUCCAUUUGAAGACAGCGGCUGUAUGGCAAGUGAGGAGCUGCAGGGAAGGUGAAGCAGCAGCUGCAUGGCAAGCCAGGGGCUGGAAAGAAGCUGGAGACCAGAAAGGAUGCAGAGCUCUGUGUGGAACAGGCUCUGAGUGAGAGACAUCACAGUUGCAUGCAGACUUGUCUACAGCUAGUUCCUGAUAUAGCAGCAAAGAGAAUUCCCUAUACCUCUACAUCAUAUCUGGAGGAGCUAAGAUGGCAAGAUAUGCAGUCAUAGCAGCCUAGAGAGAGGGCAGCUGACCAGUGGCAGUGGAAAGAUCUGUAAGAUUUCAAUCCAGAGAGGGGAUGAGCACUUUCUGUUAAGAACUGAAAACCCAUAACUCGCUCUGAAGUCAGGAGUGGAGGACACUCAUUCAGAACCUGAGAAGAGUCAACACUUUU